GGGGAUUUAGCUCAGAGGCAGUGCACCUGCCUCUCAAGCAUAAGGUCCUGAGUUCAAUCCCUGAGACCCCC
Molecule: transfer RNA, 71 nt
Filed under: Fukomys damarensis (Damara mole-rat)
Lineage: Eukaryota; Metazoa; Chordata; Mammalia; Rodentia; Bathyergidae
Rfam family: tRNA
About the family: Transfer RNA (tRNA) molecules are approximately 80 nucleotides in length. Their secondary structure includes four short double-helical elements and three loops (D, anti-codon, and T loops). Further hydrogen bonds mediate the characteristic L-shaped molecular structure. tRNAs have two regions of fundamental functional importance: the anti-codon, which is responsible for specific mRNA codon recognition, and the 3' end, to which the tRNAs corresponding amino acid is attached (by aminoacyl-tRNA synthetases). tRNAs cope with the degeneracy of the genetic code in two manners: having more than one tRNA (with a specific anti-codon) for a particular amino acid; and 'wobble' base-pairing, i.e. permitting non-standard base-pairing at the 3rd anti-codon position.
Source: Rfam by way of RNAcentral